UACGAAGGGGGCUAGCGUUGCUCGGAAUCACUGGGCGUAAAGGGUGCGUAGGCGGGUCUUUUAAGUCAGGGGGUGAAAUCCUGGAGCUCAACUCCAGAACUGCCUUUGAUACUGAGGAUCUUGAGUUCGGGAGAGGUGAGUGGAACUGCGAGUGUAGAGGUGAAAUUCGUAGAUAUUCGCAAGAACACCAGUGGCGAAGGCGGCUCACUGGCCCAUUACUGACGCUGAGGCACGAAAGCGUGGGGAGCAAACAGG
RNAcentral lists this ribosomal RNA (255 nucleotides) under uncultured bacterium. RNAcentral's name for it is "partial 16S ribosomal RNA". It matches the Rfam family "Bacterial small subunit ribosomal RNA", at positions 524 to 776 of the family's 1533-position model. The record is from RNAcentral.